AUAAAGUGUCGCGCCUCGUGCUUCCGUUACGUUACUCUUCCUUGCACCUGCCACCUGGUGGUAUCCGCCUUAGCCCACAAUGGCUUCCGGCGCACGCACACCAUGGUCACACGACAGCACGAUACGGAUGCAAGGAUACCAGGAUACAGGGGUAUGCCCGCUCUUGUUGCAACAGUAAGCGGCAGGAUUAGCCGGCUAUUCAUCUGUUCAUCUGCUCAUCGUCUCAUCCCUGGAAGGUACUGUGUCCUGUGGCAAAACCAUUGACAGUGUCUGGCCCACAAAACUGCUGCUGGAACCAAGGGGAAUAGCUUUUCAGUCACUGAAAGAAAUUAUUAAUAGAAAAUUGGUAUAAUACUGAAAAUUUUAAAGUGAUUUGCCAUAUUAAGUUAGAUCCAAGAGUUAUUGAUCUUAGAAAAGGUAUAGUUUCCAGAGACCUAGGACUUAACAGGACUAUUCUCCAAAUCGUGUUUGAAAUUCAAAUAAAAUCCAAAUUACCUCAAAUUUAUAAAAUACAGGAUUGCUUAUUCGAGGAAAAUAUAAAGAGAAUGCUACCGAGGAAAGAAACCAAUGGUUGACAGAAAUGUGGUGAAAAACAAAAGGAUGCCUUCAUGUGGGUGCAAAGAGAAGCUGGACAACCCAAAUAGCAGGUGGCCUUGGAGGGGUUGCCUUUUUUCCCCCCUUUUUUGGGGUGGCAUUCUCGACUCGACUGUUCACACGCAGUCAGAGGUCUUUGGUUAGGUGACCAGCACUCAGUUUAUUUAAUUGAAAGGUCAGUCUGCAGCAUACAGUUUCCGAAAUUGCUCGGCUUGGCAGAGACCAGAAUGUUGAUUAAAGGGAAAAUACAAAAGGAUAUGAAAAAGGAUAAUCUAGUAAACCUACAUAAACUAUUCAAAAAAUAAAACUCAAUUUGGAAGAACAAAGCACAAAUUCCAGUGUCUGAAUGUAAUUUGUUGGCCAAUACCUUGAAUCAAAAAUUGUAACAUUCAUUGCAAUGGAAAAUACCUAAAACCACUCAGCGUCAAAGUUGGUAGAACUAUCGAAUCCAACUAUUGGUAACAAUUACAUCAUUUCAUAGACAGAACGAAAUUGAACAAGCUCUUUUUGGACGGGGGAAUGAUGGCUCCUGGGGACGCUGCUCUUGUGCCCAAAACUCGCUGGAACAAUUAGCUCAAAAGGUUGGGGGUUUUUGGGGCUCGGAAUGAUUCAAAGAGCGCGUCGUCGACAACUGAAGCCCUAUGAAAAAGUUUCAGUUUUUGCGCAAACAAAUUGGAUUAUUCGAUUACGUGUUUGUACAAGCGCAUUGUGCGACCAAGGGGAAGGCGGGCCGACCGGGGUGGAGUGCUGGAAAAUCAGUAAUGCUGUAAAUUGCAUUUCCCUUCAGGGGUUAGACAAUAUCCCCGGGGUUUCAGAAAAAUAGACGGAUGGCGUUUGAUGGAGAGGUGGAGCAGGAAAAUCUGUCAAUUUUAUGGGGAAAGCGCAGCGUUAAAUGCAUAAGCGGAAGUCAAAGUAUUUUUUGUUUUGAUAGAUGAGACUUGGAGGAAGUUAAGGAUGGCAUUUCUGACGGAAGUCCAGGAUUAAGUAAUCUCCAAGGUGGGAAAAUUUCAUCUAUCAAACGCCGGGAAAAAAUGGGUCAUUGGAAAAAGAAUCCCCUAAAGUCGAUUCAGAGGUUUUUUGCGCAAAAAAAUAUGAAUAAGAACAAUUGACCGACCUAAUCUCAGCUGCCUCUGAAGUAAGUAUAAUAUAACACGAAAAUAAUCAUUAUUUAAACGAAUAUAAGAUACUUACUUGGAAACUUUUAAAAUCGUAUCAUAAAAAUAAUAUAUGACUAAGACAUGUAUGACAGCCAAAUCUCUGCCAAAUUCCGUGUGUAAAAUCAGUGUAAUAUUUUUUUUUUUGCUCCUGCAAUCAAUAUCGUCUUUUGACACAAGUUUCAUUAGAGAACAUAUUGAACCUUGGAAGGAAGGACUGCUCCUUUUCCCCCACUGAGUCAAGAUGAGCAAGGAGCAAGUGGCAAAAAGUGAGGAGAUGCACGUGCCAAAAGUCUCAAGUUUAGCUGUUGCUGUGGCUACUCGCAAAAAAUUUGCUCCGGGCGCUUUUAGCAAAAGUGUAACGAAGGACGGGGGACUGCGACUGGCAGGAAGGGCAUGAAGGACGAGGUGGCAGCCGGAAAAUUGAGGAAAAACUGAGACUGGGUUGGGAUGAGCACACAGAGAUGACGACAGCUUGGGCUUGUCAUGGCAGAACGCGACGUGAGCGGUGGCUUGGCCUUUGGCAAUUUUCUUAUUGCAUGCAUGUGGCAGCUAAAAAAAUACUGGCCAGGAACAAAACGUAGAGGGCAAAAAGGAUUGGGCCGGUAACGACAAAUAGUGUUGCAUAUUUAUGUGCGCAUCCACACAAAACAGGACUUUUGUAAUUAAAACGAGAGUGAAAAUGGUUUACUAUG
Drosophila ananassae is the source of this 2443-nucleotide long non-coding RNA. RefSeq lists it as uncharacterized. The record is from RefSeq and is a predicted model, not a curated record. NCBI's taxonomy places the organism in Eukaryota, Metazoa, Arthropoda, Insecta, Diptera, Drosophilidae. The transcript is spliced from 4 exons.